Molecule: ribosomal RNA, 469 nt
Filed under: uncultured bacterium
Lineage: Bacteria
Description: bacterial SSU rRNA
Rfam family: Bacterial small subunit ribosomal RNA
Source: RNAcentral
AGGCUUACCUCAUGCAAGUCGAGCGGGGAGAUGUAGCUUGCUACUUUUCCUAGCGGCGGACGGGUGAGUAAUGCUUAGGAAUCUGCCUAUUAGGGGGGGACAACUUUCCGAAAGGAAUGCUAAUACCGCAUACCCCCUACGGGGGAAAGCAGGGGAUCUUCGGACCUUGCGCUAAUAGAUGAGCCUAAGUCAAAUUAGCUAGUUGGGGGGGUAAAGGCCUACCAAGGCGACAAUCUGUAGCGGGUCUGAGAGGAUGAUCCGCCACACUGGGACUGAAACACGGCCCAAACUCCUACGGGAGGCAGCAGUGGGGAAUAUUGGACAAUGGGCGAAAGCCUGAUCCAGCCAUGCCGCGUGUGUGAAGAAGGCCUUUUGGUUGUAAAGCACUUUAAGCGAGGAGGAGGCUACUUAGAUUAAUACUCUAGGAUAGUGGACGUUACUCGCAAAAUAAGCACCGGCUAACUCUGUG